Molecule: ribosomal RNA, 447 nt
Filed under: uncultured bacterium
Lineage: Bacteria
Description: partial 16S ribosomal RNA
Rfam family: Bacterial small subunit ribosomal RNA
Source: RNAcentral
AGCGAACGCUGGCGGCAGGCUUAACACAUGCAUGUCGAACGCCCCGCAAGGGGAGUGGCAGACGGGUGAGGAACACGUGGGAACGUACCCUUCGGUUCGGAAUAACUCAGGGAAACUUGUGCUAAUACCGGAUACGUCCGAAAGGAGAAAGAUUUAUCGCCGAAGGAUCGGCCCGCGUCUGAUCAGCUUGUUGGUGAGGUAACGGCUCACCAAGGCGACGAUCAGUAGCUGGUCUGAGAGGAUGAUCAGCCACACUGGGACUGAGACACGGCCCAGACUCCUACGGGAGGCAGCAGUGGGGAAUAUUGGACAAUGGGGGCAACCCUGAUCCAGCCAUGCCGCGUGAGUGAUGAAGGCCUUAGGGUUGUAAAGCUCUUUUGUCCGGGAAGAUAAUGACGGUACCGGAAGAAUAAGCCCCGGCUAACUUCGUGCCAGCCGCCGCGGUAA